Molecule: long non-coding RNA, 3570 nt
Organism: Fukomys damarensis (Damara mole-rat)
Lineage: Eukaryota; Metazoa; Chordata; Mammalia; Rodentia; Bathyergidae
Source: Ensembl
AUGUUAACCCACAGAAUCCAAGGAGAAUGGCCAACCAGUGGGGCAGCUCACUUCUACAUUGCUGAAAUGCCUGUUCCUUCCUCGGCCCUGCCUCCCGCUGAGCAGAAGAAGGUCAGCUCCUGGGUCACCCUCAGCCUUGGUGCUCAGUGGUCCCCACCCAGACCCUUACCCCUCCCCAGUUGUUUAUCCGGUAGCCCAAGACAAGGCAGAGCCCCAGCACCUUUGUGCCCCCAGAGCUCUGUGAGAGAAACUGGCCAGCUGCGGCCACAUCUGCCACCAGUGAAACAAGGCAGGACUCUGUGGGACCUCAUCCGUCUUUGUUCAUUGGGCGCUGCUGUGCCCUAUAGUAUUUAACUACACAGGGCUAGGGUGUGGCUCUCAGGUUCCUGGGCCUGCAGCGGGAUCACUAAAUUUAAGGCUUCCAGAUCCCUGGCAGGAAUAGAUCCCAAACCUGCAUACUCAAUACUUUUGCUCCAAACUUUUGAACUUGAGGGCAAUACUAAACUUAAAAAUAAGAGAUAGGUUUGUCUGUUUGUUUGUUUGUUUGUUUUUUUACAAAAUUAUUUUUAUGGUCCCUUUAACGAGGACCCUAUGGCAAAUGCACAAUUAUUCAGAAUUACAUUUUAUCGUUUUCACAUUGAAAACAGCAAAUGUUGACUUAGUAAUUUUUAUAUGUAUAUGUAUAUGUCUAUUUAAUCAACCAGCAGUUUUGAAAUAAGUCCUCCUGGUACAGAACUUUUGCAGCAUCACAUAAAUUAUAGUGCUAAACACAAGAACUGUUUUUGGGGCCAGUUUAGAAUUUGUACCUGCUCCUUUUGCUACUCAAAACAAUGCUUUGUGGUGACCUUUCCACAGGGCAGAAGGGGUCUUCAUUUUCCAGAAACAGUGACUGAAAUGCCAGGAUGGGAUGAGGGAUGGGAAAUAUGAACUUGAGGCUCACGUGCCAAAGUGUGUGUGUGUGUGUGUGUGUGUGUGUGUGUGUGUGUGUGUGUGUGUGUGUUUCGGUUUUCUUUGCUUUUGUUUUUUAAAUGUUUAAAAGCUUAAUAGGUUGGCACCAGUUGUAGCCCACAAAUAUAGGCAGGGCUUUGGGGAAUUGGCAUUUUUCUCGUGGUUUACAAGACAUAGUCUGAACAUAAAAGCUUUAAAAACAAGAUAGCUUGGGGCUGAGGGUAUAAGCUCAAUGGUAGAGCACUUGCCUAGCAUGCGAGGGACCUUGGGUUCCACCCUCAGUACCUCCAAAAAAAAAAAAAAAAAAAAAGAUAACAUUGUAACUACAGGAACAGAACAGUCUGCAUGUUACACUUCCAUGGGCCAUGUAAGAAAAUGCAAAGCCCUUUGAUGAAAUGAGUGGUGGGAAAUUAUUUUUAUUCUUAAGUGAUUUUCCUUUUCAUGACAUGUACUAUAUGUUACUGAGUCUGUAUGUUGAGGAACCCGUAACACAUUCAACAAUGGGGCCGUAACUCAGGUCUCACUGCUGAGGGGGCUUGAACCACCAGUGGUACAUGCGUGACAGUUCCAUGCAUGACUUCCACUUCUGCCACCUGUGGCAUAAGCUGCCCAGUGGAGCAGCCAUGCAUGUACCACUGGUGGUUCAAGCUAUUGGGGACAUGUUAAAAGAGCAGAAUUCAGGGAAAUAGCCAGAGGGUACUUGUGAGAUCUAAAUUUUCUGGUCCAGAGACUAUGAAGAGGUACAGCCUACCCAUUCAGUGAGGGCAGGGCUUGGAGCCCCUAAAAAAAUCACUCUGCUAACUUUGGUGGGAAAAGAAUGCACAUCCAUUCCCAGAGAUGCAUUGAGAAUGUUUUCUGAUUCUUAAUAUUCAAGCUGGGCACAAUAACACGCCCAUAGUCCUAGCACUGAGGAGCUCAGGCAACUUAGUGAGACCUUGUCUUCAAAAAAGAAAACCACUGAAAUUCAACAAGGCAUUGAAUGUCUGGCUCUGGUCAGACUGCUGGUUCACACUCAAAAGAUGCUCACCCUUGCUCCAUUAAACUGGGAAAUAUCCCGGAAGAAUAAAGGAGGCAUGUAGCUAGGCUGGCUUUCCUCAGAUGGCACUUGCAUCCCCUUCACCUCUCCUGGCAUAUCGGGAGGCAGUGGCAUUUCCCAGCCCCGCAAGGGAUGUCAGCCCACUUAGCAGCAGGUGGUCAUCCCCAGUGUUGUGGCUGUGUAUGUAGCAAUGAGUGGUGCACCAGUGGGCAUGGAGGGACACUUUCAGGUACUGCUGGUGUCUGUUACAGGGAUUCUUCCUUUUCUCCUUAGCUAGGUAAUUAAGUGCACCAGUUCUAAAAAAAAAAUGAAAACAUGGUACCUUUACCAGAUCCUUCACACAUGUCUGUGAUAAAAAUUGACUAAAGUCUGCCCAGUGAGCAGAGGGGUUGGACUAAGCAUUUCUCCACUUCCUCUUAAUAACGCCCAAAAUCAAUACCAACUCUUUUUCUCUCUGUCCCUGAAGGACCUUGGGGAAAUCAUCUCCCUAUGUAUUUGUUCUUUCCUGAACCUUCUUAGUGGUUUACAUGCCUCUGAUCCUAUGUGCAAUAUUUUUGGUGAAUAUUUGUAUUCGUUGUCAAGAGAUAACACAGUUUGCAGGUUUCUUACUGUCUUCUUCCACCCCAAACAAACCUGCCAUGAGGGGGGAUCCUUCAGGGUUUGGUUCUUACCCCACUACUUAGAAGGCUUCCAUUUUGCUGGCCCCAGCCUCGUCCCUCCUUUCUACCCACUUGUCCUUUUAAAAUUUGUGUAGGGUUUCAGCUGCAGUCCACAAGUAACUAGACAAUACCUAAUGUUAAGUAGAACAUCAAUCUGUGCUGGUUCUGUUGAUGAUGCUGAAAUCACAAACUCCAGGAAAGCAAAGGGGUUUCCAAUGUCUUUUGCUUUCAGAAGCAGGGAGUUUAUAUUCUCUUAAGGCCUUGAAUUAAUUUUUUUCCUCAUAAAAUAGUCUGAUAAGCUAAUUUUUAAGAAAGAAAUGCCAUUAAAUAUGUUGCGUUGUGGUUUUAAAAUUACUAACAAGUUCUGGGAAAGAAAAGUAAUAUUUGAUUUUUAAAAUGUUUUUUAAAAUUAGAUUUGAAUGGGCGUAAAAUAUGAGUAUUUUGUUUCUUUAAGGAGGACAUAGAAAUGGUUUGAGGGUUUGGGUUGGGAGAAGUAUUUUGCAGAGCUAUCAAUGUCCAAAUAAUUUUUAAAAAAUAAAAGUAUUUAAGCAGCGUGUGUCUAUUUCUAAAUCGCAACAAUCCUGUCACAAAAAUCAGUUGCUUCCUAGCCCUGUGGCUACAGAGCACUCUAGGGCUGCGCAGAAACUGUGUGGGCCAGGAACAGGCUGAGGCCCUCUCUGGGGAACUGUUAACAGUGGUCUGCUCGUUCCUUUUCAUCCUGGAGGUCUUCAGCCAACAAUUCCAUUUUAUUUCUGUUUUCCCUUCUCCCCUCCCCUUCUGUAGUGGAAAUAAACCCAGGGGAACUACCACUGAGCUACAUCCCCAGUCCCUCUUUUAUGUUUUCAUGCUGGCCUUGAAUUCACUGGGUAGUCCAAGCUGGCCCUAGCCUCCCACAUGCUGGUAUUACAAGCGUGUGCCACCAGUCCC